GACUUUGUGGUUAAUGAAGCCUGUGUGUGUGGGUUCUGCUCCAGGGCUCACAGAGUUCUGUCUGUCAGAGCCUGCCUUUUCCUCUGGCUCCUGUGUCCUUGUCAGGCCGAAUGAGCUCUUCCCCUGGGAAGCCCUCUUGAUCACAGCUGGACCUUCUGGACCCAGAGCACCAUCCUGACUGAAGCAUUUUCUCCCACUGCCAUCUUUCUCCUCCCUGUGUUCACCACUGGGAGAAAGAAAGGCCGGGAACAGGCAAUGACUAGAGCUACUUGUGAAUGGAAGUCAGUCAUUCUGCCACCCUUGGAGUACUGCUGAAGUUUUUCAAAUUGUGGUGCUACAGAGGAUUCUUGAGAGUCCCUUGGAUAGCAAGGGGAUCAAACCAGUUCAUCCUAAAGGAAGUCAACCCUGAAUAUUCAUUGGAAGGACUGAUGCUGAAACUGAAGCUCCAAUACUUUGGUUACCUGGUGCGAAGAGCCAACUCAUUGGAAAAGACCCUGAGGCUGGCAAAGAUUGAAGGCAGGAGGAGAAGGG
Bos taurus (domestic cattle) is the source of this 531-nucleotide long non-coding RNA. NCBI's taxonomy places the organism in Eukaryota, Metazoa, Chordata, Mammalia, Artiodactyla, Bovidae. The record is from Ensembl.